UUCAUAUAAACAUGCACCAAGGAACAAAGUUCUAUAAGAUUUCAGAGAUUACAAAAUAUCCAAUGCGAAUGUUGACUAUUUUUCAAAUAGUACAUUCCUUAGCUUCCAUGGGAAACCUAUUUGCUUACGGGGCAAAAUGUGAUGAUGCAUCAUCCCUUUUGAAAGUUGACUGUUCCAUAAACCUUCGCUUUCAUAAGCCUUCUUUUCUGUAGUAUUUGACAAAAAUAUUAGAACUUGUUGUCAAUAGCACAACCAAGGGAAGGAAUUUUGCAGUUAUCUAUCAAAAUGAUUUUGGAAUGAAAGAACCAAAUUACACAUUAAAUUACUAUGUAAAACAACACCUGAAAAAAUAAUAUAUUUCUCCUGUUAACCGCAUAACUAAUGCCAAUCACGUGAACACCUAAUUUUUGCCUCACAUGGAAUUUACUCCUAAAAAUAGUCCAAAAAUAAUUUAAUGAUUUUUAUGAAUUUUAGGAGUUUUUCUUAAUUUGGUUUUGCAUUUAUUCGCAUUGUUUGUGCAUGCUAGGAAUAUCGUAAAUCAGAAAAAUCAUAAAAAAAAAAAUGUUCAAAUCUUAAUUUCAUAGUCUUUUAGAUUUUAAAUUAUAUUUUAGGAUUUAAUUAUAUUAUUAAAUGCAUUUAAAUAACUAAAAAAAUACAUUCUUAGGUUAGUUAAUUAAUUAGAUUAUUAGUCAAUCAUUAGAUAAAAUAGAUAAUUAAUUUGGCCAUAACAAUUGAAUUAAACUAAAGUGGCCAACAUUGCAAAAUACAAAGAAAGAAGAAAAGGGGUUGUACAAAACUAGGCCAAUUUCCAAACGGCCCAGUAAACCUCCACAAGCCACGGCCAUUCCCCUGACCUGGCCCAAUUUCCCUUUCCCCCUCAUUAAAAUACUCCCUCCCCUAAUCCCUAAAGAGAACAGACUCUCUCCCCCCUCCCCCCCCCUCCCCCCCCCACAAUUUUACCUAACCCUAGCAGCUCCUUCCUCUCUCCAAACAGACCCCUUCCCCCAUGAAAAAUCCUAGCCGCCGCCCUGUUCUUUCUUUUCUCUCUAUCACACAAGCUCCUUCUCACCUCACUAUCAUCUGGAUACACACGCGAUUCACCAUCGGCAUGUUACGAAUAUGGAAUUUCGGAGGAAGAAGUAAGAAGAGAAGAAAACAAUGCAAAUAAGAUAAAGGUUUUUCAUUCAUAACCUCAAAAUGAGCAGCUAGGUCAAUACAUAUACCCUCCCAUCUUCAGAACACGUAAAUGAGGAGGAGGACCGAAAGUGCAAAAAUAGAAACUUCAACAUAUUAAAUCUGUAAUUAACUAAACUCUUAUUUAAGGAACUCUUGGGGUCUAUAUGUCAAUUCCCAAAAUCUGCAACCACUUAGCAGCCCAUUCUAAUUAACGUAUGAGUACCACUCCCCAAGCCUUCUGUACAAGUCUCGACAACUACUCUAUUUCUGAAUCGUAUCACGGCAAUUCUCACAAACACACACGAGAUAGUGAAGAACAAAUUUCGAAAUUCAGAAAGCAAAAAUCAGAUCAAAAAAUAAAAAACAAAACAGAAUUGAAAACUGAUUUGGAUUCUAUUCUCCUGCAUUGUAUCUGCUGGGAUUUUGGAAGGAUAACUGAGCUCAAGUGUCGCUGUUUCAUUGCUGGCUUGAGCUGUUCAUCUUUGCUGGGCUUUACUUCUUUCUUUCGCUGCCUUUAUUUGGCUGCUGCAAUUCUCUUCUAACAUUAGAUACAUAUUCGUCAACUCAUUUAUUAAUUAAAGAGAACUUGAACUUCUAUAUAUUUCCUCUUUUCAGUGAUAAUAAACUGUUAAAUCUUAUUAGAAACUUGACUUCGUGUGCCAAUUCAAUAUUUUCUAAAUUAAGUAUUCCUCUUGUACCUAGCUUCGAUGAAUAAUAAAAUCAAUUUUACUAAAGUGUGCAGAUCUCACUGUUUAUGAUCUGUUAUGCUUCUAAAUUUGUCACAAAUUGGUUGAAGAAUCUGAUUUGGUCUCCUCGAUUUGCUUAACACGACAAUCGAAUGAAACCUGCAAUGAUAGCGUUGUGAUUAUGAACUGCUAAUGGGCCUGAGGAAAUUACAAAUUUGGUGAAAUGUUAGUAAUUAUUUGGAAUGAUCAUGUUAUUUGAAAAUAUGUAAUUAGUAUAAAAACAGCACCCAAAAAUGUAUAUGUAUUCCAUUUGAGAUUUUAAAUGCAUGAAUUAAUUGUUGAUUGUAUUAAGGCUAGCAUCAUGUCAAUUUGUUGAUUGUUGCGAUCCGGUCUUAAACAAAACUCUCUCUUAAGUCCCAUUUCGCGCACAAUGAUUGCAAGAUUAGACUUCACCGUUCUUAUUCUAAGUACUAAUUUGAAUGUGCAACCAGUAAUGACAUAAUUUGGAUUGGAUUGCCUUCCCUUGUACUUAAUUAGUUUUGGUAGUGCCUCAUUGAGGUGAAAUUCUUCUGAACCUUAGCUCUUAAUAAUCCUCGAAGUCUCUUUGAUGGAACACAAAACUUUAUAAUCCCUCGUCAAAUCAAAUAACGUAAAUGCAUCUCUUUCCAGCAAAUGAAUCCCAUAUAGCUACGACUUUACAACCAUAUCAUGUGGCCUCAACAAUUAUUGAACAUAUGUUAGUUUGCUUUAGGCACGCUAAUUAAUUAAAUUAUCGUGAUUAUGUAUACGUUUGCGUGAUAUAAUUAUGAUUCCCAAAAUAAAUCAAGAUACGCGUUCGCUAGUUCCAUACUUAGUUCUUUCGCCGCUAGUUCUAGUGACAUGACAUGCAUGCGGAAUUUUUGUCCAGAUCUUAGAAAAUGGAUUUAAGCUUGAAUUGGAUAACUGAGAAAAAUACACUUUUGAGGAUGAAAAAGAGUUGAAAUAUCUUGGAAUUAAUCCCGAGUAAAAUUCAAGUGGAACUGAAAUAGUCAUACCCGUCGUGGAGGGUAAGGAAAUUUACCUUCAAAAUCAUUGUGAAGCUCAUAUUUGAGAAUGUUGAAUCAAUUGAAAUUGGUGGAAAGUUUGACAUCAAUGGAUGGGAAGUGUCUUUCGACCAUGACACACUAAGAAGACAGGCAUGCUUAUCAAUGCUGUGAUCACGAAAGGAUACUAUGAUUGACGUUCUCGAGGCUGGGAGGCCUUUUUCAGUUAUCUAAAUACUUUAUACCCUUCGUUACCCCUUUUGAGUUUGUGUUAUUUUCUUUGACCACCCCCCUCUUGGAAUCAAGUUUAGAGUUAAAAGUAAAAAUAAAAUGAAAAAAAGAGGUCCAUGCCCCAAGAGUACACACUGGGGCAAUUCUUAAAGUUCAAGUAAAAAAAGAAGAAGAAGAAGAAACAGUCAAAGGUCCAUUCCCCCAGAAAAUAAAGGCUAAGGCAACUUGCUUUGAAAACAAAAGAAAAAAAAAAGAAAGGAAAAAAAAGAAAAAAAAUGAAACAGAAAUAAAGAUGAAAAAACAAUAGUUAGGUCAGAAGCAUGAACUACGUUUGACCUGAUUCUUUUAAAAAAGGAUACGUAGGCAGCCUUACACGGUUCGGUCCAACCAAAUAAAAAUUCAAAAAAAAGAACAAAAAUUCCCAGUAUCUCAAAUUGGGACAAAGAUUUUGUUUCACUUUUGAAAGAGUCGAUUCCAAGAGUUGUAAGUCUACAACCCCCUCAUUUGGAGCUUACUCAAAGCCUUCAUGCCGUCCUUUCUUUCCAACCUUAUCCAAAAACCUUCCAAACAAAGACCUCAUGAUAUUCCUUCAAGAAUUCCAAGAGAAGCAUGCAAUGAGCAACUCCAAACAAAGACCUCAUGAUAGUUCUUGUUGAUUUAUUUUCUGUACUCUUAUGUUAUUGUUGUCGUUAUUCGUAUUCGUAGUUAUUGAGCCGUGGGUUAUAUAUGGUUGUGGUAUUGGUAUUGUGGUUUUGGCAAUGUUUUGGUAUAUGAGACCGUGUGGUGCGAGUUUUUGUGUUGUAUUGUUGUGUUUAGGCACAUGUGGGCCCGUUAAGAGUAUGUUAUGUUUGCGUUAUUCGUAUUCGUUGUUGUUGAGCAGUGGGCUAUAUAUAUGUAUGGUAUUGGUAUUGUGUUUUUGGAAAUGUUUUGGUAGAUGGGACCGUGGUGCGGGUUUUUAUGUUGUAUUAUUGUGUUUUGGCAUUUGUGGUCCCGUUGAGAGGAUUGUCGGGAUGUUAUUGUUGUCGUUAUUAGUAUUCGCAGUUGUUGAGCUGUGGGUUAUAUAUGGUUGUGGUAUUGGUAUUGCGGUUUGGGCAAUGUUUUGGUAUAUGAGACCGUGUGGUGCGAGUUUUUAUGUUGUAUUGUUUUGUUUGGCACAUGUGGGCCCGUUAAGAGUAUUGUCGGGAUGUUUACACGAGAUUUCUUCCGUGCUACUUUUAUUAUUGAUAUUGCACAUGUGGCGAAACAAGGCAGGCUAUAUACAUAUGUUGGGUUUGUGCAUGUGGCAAGACAAGGUGGGAUAAUUAUUAAUGCACGUGUGGCGAGAUAAGGCCGGCAUUUACUAUAUUUUUUCACAGGCGACGAGACAAAGGGGUGAUGGUCUGGGGGCAUAGUAUUGGUGAUAUCCAUUUGGUGGUACGACUUCCUUGUGUGUGUCAUGCAUAUUACAUAAUUUGUUAUGUUAUUUUCAAUGUGCUACUCGGUGUCUCUAUUUAUGACUUGUUGACUUGAGUAUGAUAGUACAAUUGCACAUGCAUACACCGUAACAUGCCAUUUAUACCAGUCCUGGAGUAUGAUACUUGAUGACCAUUGGCCAUUUACAUGCAUUCUUGUAUCCGAGGUGCGGGCCUUGGAUUGACAUUUUAGUUUUCAUUAAAGAUCGAAACUUUAUUAUGCGAAAUUAUUUUCUAUGGCUUUUAUUUAUGAUAUUAAGUUAUUUUGGCUAGAUUCGGACCGUUCAGAGGUUGUUUCAUACAAGAAGGACUUCUUAAAGUAUUGAUUUAGCUUCUUUGAGAUAAGUAUAUUGCCUAAUUUUGUGUGGAAAAAAUUACCCCGUAAGAUUUGAGUUAAUUUCACUAUUUGAAUUAUGUGAAAGUCGUGUACUUGAGAUGACAAGUGUGUACACAUGCAUAUAUAUUGAAAUUGACUUGUUUAAGCUUGUAGGUCACUCAUAUGAAAUUAAUUGAAGUUGUUAUUGCAUGGUAUAUCUAUUAUUGUUGAGGUUAAUUGUCCGUUUCAAUGUGUUAUUGCACUUCUUGUUGAUUUAUUUUCUGUACUCUUGUGUUAUUGUUGGUGUUAUUCAUAUUCGUUGUUGUUGAGCAGUGGGCUAUAUAUAGGUAUGGUAUUGGUAUUGUGGUUUUGGACAUGUUUUGGUAGAUGGGACCGUGGUGCGGGUUUUUAUGUUGUAUUGUUGUGUUUUGGCACUUGUGGUCCCGUUCAGAGCAUUGUCGAGAUGUUUGCACGUUAUUUCUUCCGUGCUAUUUUUAUUAUUGAUAUUGCACAUGUGGCGAGACAAGGCGGGCUAUAUACAUAUGUUGGGUUUGUGCAUGUUGCAAGACAUGGUGUGAUAAUUAUUAAUGCGCGUGUGGCGAGACAAGGCCGGCAUUUACUAUAUUAUUUCGCAGGCGACGAGACAAGGGGGGUGAUGGUCUGGGGGCAUAUUAUUGGUGAUAUCCAUUUGGUGGUGCGACUUCCUUGUGUGUGUCAUGCAUAUUACAUGAUUUGUUAUGCUAUUUUCAAUGUGCUACUCGGUGUCUCUAUUCUUGACUUGUUGACUUGAGCUAUGAUAAUACACUUGCAAAUGCAUACACUGUAACAUACCAUUUGUACCAGUCCAGGAGUAUGAUACUUCAUGACUAUUGGCCAUGUACAUGCAUUCUUGUCCGAGGUGCGGGCCCUGGAUUGACAUUUUAGUUCUCAUUAAAGAUCGAAACUUUAUUAUCCGAAACUAUUUUCCAUGGCUUUUAUUUAUGAUAUUAAGUUAUUGUGGCUAGAUUCGGACCGUUCGGAGGUUGUUUCACAUGGGAAGGGCUUCUUAGAGUAUUGGUUUAGCUUCAUUGAGAUAAGUAUCAUGCCUAACAUUGUGUGGACAAAACUAACCCAUAGGAUUUGAGUUAAUUUCACUAUUUGAAUUAUGUGAAAGGCGUGUACUUGAGGUGACAAGUGUGUACACAGGCUUAUAUAUAGAAAUUGACUUAUUUAGGCUUGUAGGUCACUCAUAUGAAAUUAAUUAAGGUUGUUGUUUCAUGUUAUAUCUUUCAUUGUUGAGGUUAAUUGUCCAUUUCAAUGUGUUAUUGCAGUUGUUGUGGAUUUAUUUUCUGUACUCUUGUGUUAUUGUUGUCGUUAUUCGUAUACGUUGUUGUUGAGCCGUCGGCUAUAUAUGGUUGUGGUAUUGGUAUUGUGAUUUCGGCAAUGUUUUGGUAUAUGGGACCGUGUGGUGCGAGCUUUUAUGUUGUAUUGUUGUGUUUUGGCAAAUGGGUGCCCGUUGAGAGGAUUGUCGGGAUGUUUGCACGGGAUUUCUUCUGUGCUACUUUUAUUAUUGAUAUUGCACAUGUGGCGAGACAAGACGGGCUUUAUACAUAUGUUGGGUUUGUGCAUGUGGCAAGACAAGUUGGGAUAAUUAUUAAUGUGCGUGUGGAGAGAGAAGACCAGCAUUUACUAUAUUAUUUCGCACGCGACGAGCCAAGGGAGUGAUGGUCUGGGGGCAUAUUAUUGGUGAUAUCCAUUUGAUGGUGCGACUUCCUUGUGUGUGUCAUGCAUAUUACAUGAUUUGUUAUGUUAUUUUCAAUGUGCUACUCGCUGUCUAUAUUUUUGACUUGUUGACUUGAGCUAUGAUAGUACACUUGCACAUGCAUACCCCGUAACAUGCCAUUUAUACCAGUCCAGGAGUAUGAUACUUGAUGACCAUUAGCGAUGUACAUGCAUUCUUGUAUCCGAGGUGCGGGCCCUAGGUUGACAUUUUAGUUUUCAUUAAAUAUCGAAACUUUAUUAUCCGAAAUUAUUUUCUAUGACUUUUAUUUAUGAUAUUAAGUUAUUUUGGCUAGAUUUGGACCGUUCGGAGGCUGUUUCACAUGGGAAGGGCUUCUUAAAGUAUUGAUUUAGCUUCUUUGAGGUAAGUAUGUUGCCUAACUUUGUGUGGGAAAAACUACCCCAUAGGAUUUGAGUUAAUUUCAGUAUUUAAAUUAUGUGAAAGACGUGUACUUGAGGUGACAAGUGUGUACACAGGCUUAUAUAUAGAAAUUAACCCGUUUAGGCUUGUAGGUCACUCUUAUGAAAUUAAUUGAAGUUGUUAUUGCAUGUUAUAUCUUUCAUUGUUGAGGUUAAGUGUCCAUUUCAAUGUGUCAUUGGAGUUCUUGUUGAUUUAUUUUCUGUACUAUUGUGUUAUGGUUGUCGUUAUUGUGACGACCCGGUCGGUCGUCUUAAGAGUUAUGGCCCCGAUCCCCUAUUAACUGUUUUCCCUGUAUCCUUUUCUGCUAUUGUGACUUGUUGGGAGGUUUCAUUUUGGUUUUUGGAGUGUUUUGGGACACUUAGUCCCUAAAUGGAGUCUUAAGUCUUAUGAUUUGGACCGUAGUCAGAACUGUGUGAAGACGACUCUGGAAUGGUGUUCCGUCAGUCUCGUUAGCUCCGCUAAGUGAUUUUUGACUUAGAGGCUUGUCCAGAUAGUGUUUUGGAGGUUUGUAGCUCAUUUAGGUUUGAAAUGGCGAAAGUCGAAGUUUUGGAGAUUUGGACCGGUAGUGGAAUUUUGAUACCGGGGUCGGAUUCAGAUUUUGGAAGUUGGAAUAGGUCUGUAGGGUUGAAUAUAACCCGUGUGCAAAAUUUGGGGUCAAUCGGACGUGGUUUGGUUGGUUUCGGCAUCNNNNNNNNNNNNNNNNNNNNNNNNNNNNNNNNNNNNNNNNNNNNNNNNNNNGGGGGCCUCGGGUUGAUUUCGGAUGGUUAACGGAUUAUUUUGGACUAGUGGAAAAUAGCAGAUUUUCUGGUGUUUUGUUGCAGACUUUUUCUUCAUCGAGUUCGCAAGAGAGGUCUCGCGAUCGUGUAAGGCAUCUGAGAGGCCAGCUGAAGUUGUUCUUCGCUUUCGCGAAUAUGAGGACGUGAUCGCGUAGGUUGGUCAGGUUGUGCAUCGCGAACGCGUGGGCUAGUCCGCAUUCGCGAAGAGGAAGUAAAGCAGCAGUGGAAUUCAAGUGUUGUUCUUCGCGAACGCGUGGGAUUGUUCACGAUCGCGUAAGUAUGAGAGCUAGAGAAUCGCAUUCGUGUUGAGUUUUCCGCGUUCAUGUAGGGUUAAAUUCUGGGGCAGCGAAGUUGUGCUUCGCGAUCGCGAGGCUAUUUCCGCGAUCGCGAUUAAGGAAUUACUGGGCAGUAUUAAACAUUUCAAAAAUGAGGGUUUGGCCAUUUUUAUCAAAACUUGAGUUUGGGAGAUCGGAUUUGGACGAGAGGUUGGGAUUUUUAGAGACAUCGAUUGGGUAAUGAUUCUACACUCUAUUUUGGUUAUAUUCCACUAAUCUAUCAUUAAUUCAUCUUUAAUUUCGGAUUCUGGGGUUGAAAUUUGGGAAAAUUGGAAGAAGUUCUUCAACUAAGAUUUCGAGUUUUGAAAGGGGAUUCGUGAUCGGAUUUGAGUAAUUUUUAUAUGGUUGGGCUCGUGAGUGAAUGGGUGUUCAUAUUUUGUGACUUUUACCCGAUUUCGAGAUGUGGGCCUGGGGAGGCUUUUUGGGGUGAUUUCCUAAUUUCUCGCUUUAGCUUAGAUUUCAUUGACUAGAUUAGUUUCUUAUAACUAUAUUUAUGGUAUGUAAUUGAUUUUGGCAAGAUUUGGGUCAUUCAGAGUCGGAUAUUCGUGGGAAGAGCAUUGCUAUCGACUGAUUUAGCUUGGUUCGAGGUAAGUGGCUUGCCUAACCUUAUUUGGGGGAAAUCCCCUUAGGAUUUGGUACUGAUUUUACUAUGUGAUUGUCGUGUACGCGAGGUGACGAGUGCGUACACAGGCUAUUUGUUGAAAAACCUGAUUUUUAUUGAGAAAUUCCCUGUUUACACCUUAAUUGAAUAUACUAGCAUGCGUAGUUACCCUGUUAGCUUAGAAUAACAUGUCUAUGUGCCUUAUUUGCUUAAUCGAACUCUUUGCAGCAUGCUUAUUGAAUUCCUGCUUCUUUCCCGACUUGUACUUAGUCUAGACUGUAGAUUCUCUUGUUGUACUUGUCGUUUGUAAUUGAUUGCGCUGUGUAUUUACUUUGUGACUAUGGGACAGUAUCCCGAGAGAUCCCCCUGUAUAUUUACUUUUGGGACUACGGGACGUUAUCCCGGGAGAUCCCCCUGCAUAUUUACUAUUGGGACUACGGGACGGUAAUCUGAGAGAUCCCCUUACACAUUUACUUUGAGACUACGAGGCGGUACAUCGGGAGUUUUCCCUGCAUAUUUACUUUUGGGACUACAAGACGGUAUCUCGGGAGAUCCCUGUCACUUAAUUCCAUGCACUGUUAUGUUAACACACUGUGUUUUCCUUUGUUGAACUUUAGUCUCUUAUUAUACUGCUUAUUCUCCUGUUUUAAUUAUUUUAUACCAGUGGGCUUGACCUAACCUCAUCACUACUCGACCGAGGUUAGGCUCGACACUUACUGGGUACCGCUAUGGUGUAAUCAUGCCCUUUCCUGCACAUGUUUUUUGUGUGCAGAUCCAGGUUCCUUUUACCAGCCUCGUCCUUAGUUGCAGUUGUUGCUGUUUCAGAGAAGUUCAAGAUACAUCUGCCCGCGCCCGCAGAUCCUCGGAGUCCCCCUCUAUCCCCCUAUAUUGAUUCUUCACUUAUUUCUAUAGACACUGAUGUAGAGAACAGUUAGAACUUCGUAGAAGCUUGUGACUCACGGUGUUCCGAGUCUUGGGAGUGUCAUGUAUAUUUUGAGAGUUGAUUAUUGCAUAUGCCGAGCGGUGUCUCAAUUGCUUAUUAAAAUAUUUGUUACUGUUAGUUGUUAUUUUUCAUAUUUUUUAUUUUAUUUCCGCAAGUGUUAGGCUUACCUAGUCGUAAAGACUAGGUGCCGUCACGACGAUUCAUAGAGGGAGAAUUUGGGUCGUGACAGUUAUUCAUAUUCGUUGUUGUUGUGCCGUGGGCUAUAUAUGGGUGUGGUAUUGGUAUUGUGGUUUUGGCAAUAUUUUGGCAAAUGGGACCAUGUGGUGCGGGUUUUUAUGUUGUAUUGUUGUGUUUUGGCACUUGUGGGCCCGUUGAGAGGAUUGUCGGGAUGUUUGCACGGGAUUUCUUCCGUGCUACUUUUAUUAUUGAUAUUGCACAUUUGGCGAGACAAUGCAGGCUAUAUACAUAUGUUGGGUUUGUGCAUAUGGCAAGACAAAGUAGGAUAAUUGUUAAUGCACAUGUGACGAGACAAGGCCGACAUUUACUAUAUUAUUUCGCACACGACGAGACAAGAGAGGUGAUGGUCUGGGGGAAUAUUAUUGGUGAUAUCCAUUUGGUGGUGCGACUUCCUUGUAUGUGUCAUGCAUAUUACAUGAUUUGUUAUGUUAUUUUAAAUGUGCUACUCGGUGUCUCUAUUUUUGACUUGUUGACUUGAGGUAUGAUAGUACACUUGCACAUGCAUACACCAUAACAUGACAUUUAUACUAAUCCAGGAGUAUGAUACUUGAUGACCAUUGGCCAUGUACAUGCAUUCUUGUAUCCGAGGUGCGAGCCCUGGAUUGACAUUUUAGUUUUCAUUAAAGAUCGAAACUUUAUUACCCGAAACUAUUUUCUAUGGCUUUUAUUUAUGAUAUUAAGUUAUUGUGGCUAGAUUCGGACCGUUUGGAGGUUGUUUCACACAGGAAGGACUUCUUAGAGUAUUAAUUUAGCUUCUCUGAGGUAUGUAUCUUGCCAAACUUUGUGUGGGCAAAACUAACCCAUAGGAUUUGAGUUAAUUUCACUAUUUGAAUUAUGUGAAAGGCGUGUACUCGGGGUGAUAAGUGUGUACACGAGCUUAUAUAUAGAAAUUGACCUGUUUCGGCUUGUAGGUCACUCAUAUGAAAUUAAUUGAAGUUGUUGUUGCAUGUUAUAUCUUUCAUUGUUGAGGUUAAUUGUCCGUUUCAAUGUGUUAUUGCAGUUCCUGUUGAUUUAUUUUCUGUACUCUUGUGUUAUUGUUGUCGAUAUUCAUAUUCAUUGUUGUUGAGCCGUGGGCUAUAUAUGGUUGUGGUAUUGGUAUUGUGGUUUUGGCAAUGUUUUGGCAUAAGGGACCGUGUGGUGCGAGUUCUUAUGUUGUAUUGUUGUGUUUUGGCGCAUGUGGGCCCGUUGAGAGGAUUGUCGGGAUGUUUGCACGGGAUUACUUCCGUUCUACUUUUAUUAUUGAUAUUGCACAUAUGGCGAGAUAAGGCAGGCUAUAUACAUAUGUUGGGUUUGUGCAUGUGGCAAGACAAGGUGGGAUACUUGUUAAUGCGCGUGUGGCGAGACAAGGCCGACAUUUACUAUAUUAUUUCGCAUACGACGAGACAAGAGGGUGAUGGUCUCGGGACAUAUUAUUGGUGAUAUCCAUCUGGUGGGGAAACUUCCUUGUGUGUGUCAUGCAUAUUACAUGAUUUGUUAUGUUAUUUUCAAUGUGCUAAUAAGUGUCUCUAUUUUUGACUUGUUGACUUGAGCUAUGAUAUUAUACUUCCACACGCAUACACGCGUAACAUGCUAUUUAUAUCAGUCCAGGAGUAUGAUACUUGAUGACCAUUGGCUAUAUAUAUAUAUGCAUUCUUGUAUCCGAGGUGCGGGCCCUGGAUUGACAUUUUAGUUUUCAUUAAAGAUCGAAACUUUAUUAUCCGAAAUUAUUUUCUAUAGAUUUCAUUUAUGAUAUUAGGUUAUUUUGGCUAUAUUCAGACUGUUCGGAGGUUUUUCAUACGGGAAGGGCUUCUUAGGGUAUUGAUUUAGCUUCUUUGAGGUAAGUAUCUUGCCUAACUUUGUGUGGGAAAAACUACCCCGUAGAAUUUGAGUUAAUUUCACUAUUGGAUUUAUGUGAAAGGCGUGUACUUAAGGUGACAAGUAUGUAUACUGGCUUAUAUAUAAAAAAUGACAUGUUUAGGCUUGUAGGUCACUCAUAUGAAAUUGAUUGAAGUUGUUGUUGCAUGUUAUAUCUUUUAUUGUUGGGGUUAAUUGUCCGUUUCAGUGUGGUAUUGCAGUUCUUGUUGAUUUAUUAUAUGUACUCUUGUGUUAUUGUUGUCAUUAUUCAUAUUUGUUGUUGUUGAGACAUGGGCUAUAUAUGGUUAUGGUAUUAGUAUUGUGGUUUUGGCAAUGUUUUGGUAUAUGGGACCGUGUGGUGCGAGUUUUUAUGUAUCCAAAAUUGUUUGACCAGAUCCGGUAUGGGUCUCACACCUACACCCAUACUAGUGUCGUGUCGACACGGGUGCGGCACCUAAACUGCCAUGUCAGAGCAACUUAGAUUGGGAUAGAUAGUGUUUUGGAAAAAAAGAGAAGACCGCCAUUAAACUUGAUCAUGGGAGCUCAUACCUCUUCAUGAACAAUUCUUGUAAGGGAUUUUUAUCUGUAGUGCAGGUUAUAACUCCAAAAUCAGGUGUUUUAGGGCCACCUACAUCGAAUAUCAACAUCAGUUGAAAUAUUUCAUCAAACACAAUAAGAGCUAAAAUCCAAUAAAUGCAAAUUCAAUUGAGCGGUUAAUUCUGAGUUAGACUACUUGAACAUCAAUCGCCUAAUACUUGGACGGUAUUUUUGUGACUCGGUUAAGUCUUUAAAUCUAGAAAUAUUUGCCUUAUGCUAGAACACCAGUAAGUCGAAAGAAAACAAAAAAGAAUUACAGAAGAUUGGGGGGCUUCUCUUUAUAGAGGCUCUAUGUAUUCUCAUUGAGUUCUCCUAACUACCAAGGAUUGACAUGAAAUAGUUAAAUGAGCAAAGGCAUGUGAAUAAACAAAAAAUAGAUAACAUAAAAAGUAAAAGAUAAAAUGGAAAUAAAGCAGAAGAUUGAAAAGAACAAAUUGAACGAAAAGGAAGAGAAAGAAGAACUCACAUGAUAGAGAGAAAAUGAACAACAGAGAUGAGCGGAAAGAGAAGCUAGAGAGAGAGAAUGAAAAUGAGCCCUAAAAGUUUC
RNAcentral lists this long non-coding RNA (12930 nucleotides) under Nicotiana tabacum (common tobacco). RNAcentral's name for it is "long non-coding RNA (NTAB_LNC001944)". Lineage: Eukaryota; Viridiplantae; Streptophyta; Magnoliopsida; Solanales; Solanaceae. The record is from RNAcentral.